GACGAACGCUGGCGGCGUGCCUAAUACAUGCAAGUUGAGCGAUGAAGAUUGGUGCUUGCACCAAUUUGAAGAGCAGCGAACGGGUGAGUAACGCGUGGGGAAUCUGCCUUUGAGCGGGGGACAACAUUUGGAAACGAAUGCUAAUACCGCAUAACAACUUUAAACAUAAGUUUUAAGUUUGAAAGAUGCAAUUGCAUCACUCAAAGAUGAUCCCGCGUUGUAUUAGCUAGUUGGUGAGGUAAAGGCUCACCAAGGCGAUGAUACAUAGCCGACCUGAGAGGGUGAUCGGCCACAUUGGGACUGAGACACGGCCCAAACUCCUACGGGAGGCAGCAGUAGGGAAUCUUCGGCAAUGGACGAAAGUCUGGCCGAGCAACGCCGCGUGAGUGAAGAAGGUUUUCGGAUCGUAAAACUCGGUUGGUAGAGAAGAACGUUGGUGAGAGUGGAAAGCUCAUCAAGUGACGGUAACUACCCAGAAAGGGACGGCUAACUACGUG
This 497-nucleotide ribosomal RNA is filed under the name uncultured bacterium. RNAcentral's name for it is "partial 16S ribosomal RNA". It matches the Rfam family "Bacterial small subunit ribosomal RNA", at positions 28 to 507 of the family's 1533-position model. The record is from RNAcentral.